CAGUAGCCGCGGUAACACGUAGGUGGCAAGCGUUGUCCGGAAUUAUUGGGCGUAAAGCGCGCGCAGGCGGUUUCUUAAGCCUGAUGUGAAAGCCCCCGGCUCAACCGGGGAGGGUCAUUGGAAACUGGGAAACUUGAGUGCAGAAGAGGAGAGUGGAAUUCCACGUGUAGCGGUGAAAUGCGUAGAGAUGUGGAGGAACACCAGUGGCGAAGGCGACUCUCUGGUCUGUAACUGACGCUGAGGAGCGAAAGCGUGGGGAGCGAACAGGAUUAGAGACCCCUGUAGUCCCUGUCUCUUAUAC
Molecule: ribosomal RNA, 301 nt
Filed under: uncultured bacterium
Lineage: Bacteria
Description: partial 16S ribosomal RNA
Rfam family: Bacterial small subunit ribosomal RNA
Source: RNAcentral